UGAACAUGUAACUUCUCAACGGAAAUAGGAAGAGAACAUAAACAAGCAUAAGCACACUUGCACACACUUAAUGCACAUCUACAUACCUACACUCGUACUAUCAUACAUUCACUAUCUAUUCUUAUAGUAUGCAUUCAUAUUCUCACUGUGCGACAUUCAAUGUCGUCCAGCGGUCAAGUGUACGCGCAUCAUAUUGCAGCAACUAUGAGAAUUAUAAAAUAAAAGUAGCAGCAAUCAGCGAAUUUGUUCGUCAAAGCAAGCCGUUUAAACUUCAUGUAUGUCUGUAUUUACAAGUAUAUGCAAAUAUGUCUGACAACAAACAUAUCUUCGCACACAUACAUGCACGUCAGGAAGGUGUUUUGCGCGCUGGCGUAUUGACCUUUGAAGUGCAUUCAACUGUAAAAAGGAGAGCAUGUUCGUGCGAAACAGUUUAUUGAACUGAAGAGGUUAAUGAUGUUGAAAAUACUCAAUUAUAUGUACAUACGCACACACCACAAUACCAACCAUAUCUACAUACCAUACUCGUACAUACCCUCUAGACAAGGAAUUCUCGCAAUGACCUGCUGAAUGUUCGAUAUUCUAUUUUAGUAAAGAAUUAUAAAUUUGACAUUAAUUUUGUUUGAAAUUGAAAAAAGGCCGACGACCAAACGACGCCAU
Anastrepha ludens (Mexican fruit fly) is the source of this 657-nucleotide long non-coding RNA. RefSeq lists it as uncharacterized. Lineage: Eukaryota; Metazoa; Arthropoda; Insecta; Diptera; Tephritidae. The record is from RefSeq and is a predicted model, not a curated record. The transcript has 3 exons.